RNAcentral lists this ribosomal RNA (1012 nucleotides) under uncultured bacterium. Its description in RNAcentral is "bacterial SSU rRNA". It matches the Rfam family "Bacterial small subunit ribosomal RNA", at positions 524 to 1504 of the family's 1533-position model. The record is from RNAcentral.
UACGUGGGGGUGCGAGCGUAUCCGGAUUUANUGGGCGUAAAGGUCGUCNCGGUNGUAAGUGCUGUUNAGCNCAGGCCCCAACUCUGGAUCAGCAAGCAAAACUGCCUAACUCGAGUCUGUGAAAGGAAACUGGAAUUCUCGGUGGAGGGGUGAAAUCCGUAGAUAUCGAGAGGAACGCCAAGCGCGAAGGCAGGUUUCUAGCACAGUACUGACGCUCAGGGACGAAAGCUAGGGUAGCAAAAGGGAUUAGAGACCCCUGUAGUCCUAGCCGUAAACGUUGGAUGCUAGUUGGCUGAUUCUCAGUCAUCAUAACUCUACUGUAGGUUACUAUAGUAGCUUGUUGUGGCGAAUGAGAAUUGGCUGACGUAAGCUAACGCGUUAAGCAUCCCGCCUGGGAAGUACGGCCGCAAGGCUAAAACUCAAAGGAAUUGACGGGGGAGCGCACAACCGGUGGAGCAUGUGGUUUAAUUCGAUACAAAGCGAAAAACCUUACCUGGGUUUGACAUGUACCUGCACGUUCUUGGAAACAAGAAUUUCUUCGAGAGUGGUACACAGGUGAUGCAUGGCUGUCGUCAGCUCGUGUCGUGAGACGUCCUCUUAAGUGAGGUAACGAGCGCAACCCUUGCCGUAUGUUAUACGUGUCAUACGGGACUGCCCUUACAGACUAAGGGAGGAAGGAGAGGACGACGUCAAGUCAGCAUGUCCCUUACAUCCAGGGCUACACACAUCCUACAAUGGAGCCGACAAUGGGUAGCGAUUACGCAAGUAUGAGCCAAUCCCGCAAACGGCCCCUCAGUUCGGACUGUGGGCUGAAAUUCGCCCACACGAAGUCGGAAUCGGUAGUAAUCGCAAAUCAGAAGGUUGCGGUGAAUACGUUCUCGCUCCUUGUACACACUGCCCGUCAAGCCAGCAAAGUCAGCAGCACCCGAAGCGGGUGACCUCAACCCUCACGGGAGAGGCCCUUCUACGGUGAGGUUGGCGAUGAGGACUAAGUCGUAACAAGGUAGCCGUA